AACGAACGCUGGCGGCGCGCCUAAUACAUGCAAGUCGAGCGAGAAGACGUAGCAAUACGUUUGUAAAGCGGCGAACGGGUGAGGAAUACAUGGGUAACCUACCCUCGAGUGGGGAAUAACUAGCCGAAAGGUUAGCUAAUACCGCAUACGACUCCUGGUCUGCGGAUCGGGAGGGAAAGCGAUACCGUGGGUAUCGCGCUCUUGGAUGGGCUCAUGUCCUAUCAGCUUGUUGGUGAGGUAAUGGCUCACCAAGGCUUCGACGGGUAGCUGGUCUGAGAGGACGAUCAGCCACACUGGCACUGCGACACGGGCCAGACUCCUACGGGAGGCAGCAGUAAGGAAUAUUGCGCAAUGGGCGAAAGCCUGACGCAGCAACGCCGCGUGAAGGAUGAAGGUGCUCUGCAUUGUAAACUUCUGUCGGCCGGGAAGAACCGGCGGGGUGCUAAUCAGCCCCGUCUUGACUGUACCG
This 469-nucleotide ribosomal RNA is filed under the name uncultured bacterium. Its description in RNAcentral is "bacterial SSU rRNA". It matches the Rfam family "Bacterial small subunit ribosomal RNA", at positions 29 to 480 of the family's 1533-position model. The record is from RNAcentral.